This 469-nucleotide ribosomal RNA is filed under the name uncultured bacterium. RNAcentral's name for it is "bacterial SSU rRNA". It matches the Rfam family "Bacterial small subunit ribosomal RNA", at positions 365 to 824 of the family's 1533-position model. The record is from RNAcentral.
UUCGCAAUGCCCGAAAGGGUGACGAAGCGACGCCGCGUGGGUGAAGAAGGCCUUCGGGUUGUAAAACCCUGUCAGGAGUUAUGAAAUGUAAGUGCGCUAAUAUCGUGCUUAUUUGACAAAGGCUCCAAAGGAAGCCACGGCUAACUCUGUGCCAGCAGCCGCGGUAAUACAGAGGUGGCGAGCGUUGUUCGGAAUUAUUGGGCGUAAAGAGCACGUAGGUGGGUUUGCAAGUCAGAUGUGAAAGCCUUCUGUUAAACGGGAGAAUUGCAUCUGAAACUGCUAAUCUUGAGUAUAGGAGGGGAGAAUGGAACUUCUGGUGGAGCGGUGAAAUGCGUAGAUAUCAGAAGGAACGCCGGCGGCGAAAGCGAUUCUCUGGCCUAUUACUGACACUCAGUGUGCGAAAGCUAGGGGAGCAAACGGGAUUAGAUACCCCGGUAGUCCUAGCCGUAAACGAUGGGCACUAAGUAGA